ACGCUCGACACCUACGAGAGGCAGCAGUGGGGAAUAUUGCACAAUGGGGGAAACCCUGAUGCAGCGACGCCGCGUGAGCGAAGAAGUAUUUCGGUAUGUAAAGCUCUAUCAGCAGGGAAGAAACUGACGGUACCUGACUAAGAAGCACCGGCUAAAUACGUGCCNGCAGCCGCGGUAAUCUGAGCGGGCUGGCAAGGC
RNAcentral lists this ribosomal RNA (198 nucleotides) under uncultured bacterium. RNAcentral describes it as "partial 16S ribosomal RNA". It matches the Rfam family "Bacterial small subunit ribosomal RNA", at positions 328 to 539 of the family's 1533-position model. The record is from RNAcentral.